RNAcentral lists this long non-coding RNA (1092 nucleotides) under Monodelphis domestica (gray short-tailed opossum). RNAcentral's name for it is "lncRNA (ENSMODG00000047461.1)". The record is from RNAcentral. Lineage: Eukaryota; Metazoa; Chordata; Mammalia; Didelphimorphia; Didelphidae.
UCAUGGAAAUAUUAUUGAUGUAUUGAUAUUGUAUCCUAUGUAUUUAUUUACCAGACUCAUGGCCAUGUUACUUAUUGAUUAUUGUAUUGCCAAAUCUUCAGUCCAAAGGACAAAAAGUAUUCCUGAGAAGGACAUUAUUUGCCACAUGAUCCUAGCUCAUACGUUGUUAAACCACAUUCCUUUUCAAGUCACAUGUUUGAUUAACCUCCUCCUCUUUUGAUUAUGUGAUUGUCAAUUGAGCCAAUGUUAAAGACUAUGCCCUCUCACUUGUUCAUUAGUUACCUCCCACUCCACAUUCCUAAACUCUCCAAUAAAAGUUUGAGGGCAUGUGUGGAGUCCUCUCUCAAUUCCAUCAGUGGAACAUGGCAACAUGUAGCCUAUAUUUUUUUGUUCCUUGUCUCUGCAUCUUUAUUCCUUUGUCUUUCUCUUUUUCUCCUCUAUACAUUUUCCCUCAGUUUCCAAUCUCCUUCUCAAGUGUCCACUCAUGAGAAUUUUAAGAUGCAACUACAUGAGGUUACGUUAUGGCGCCCAAGGUGGUAUAAAUCACCUGAGGAGACAUAUUGGAGUUCAAGAUUGGAGACGAAUCAGCAGACCUGCACUUGGCCAGUGAGAUACCAGAAAUCCAUGGAAUAAAACCAAAGUCAUCAAGCAUUUCCAAAGAAAACCAGCCCAGAGAGAGGAGUAAGCAGAUGUCUGUACAGAACCAACCACAGCACAACACAGAGGCCUGACACCAGAAAAAAACAACAGAUGAACAAACAAGGCAAAGCCAUUGACUUAGGGACAGGUCUAAUGCACUAUCCACACAGAAAAAUUUUUACUGAGAAGCAGUUUACCUACAGAAGAAUAUCAUUAAUUUGCUUAAAGACAAUCUAUUCUAAAAGUAUAUGCGUAUUUGUUGUAAGAUCAAUUCUUCUCAUGUACCUGAAGACUUCAAAUGAUAUUUGUACAAUAUGUAACUUGCAAUUAUUUUAUUGGAAUUGUUCCAUGUUACCCAAAUUUGAUAAAAAAAAAACCCAUUGUACAAUUGUAAAUGUUAUAACAGUACAUUAGAUACUGUUCAAUUACAAAAUAAAUUGUUUAUAUUAUCCA